This 822-nucleotide ribosomal RNA is filed under the name uncultured Pseudomonadota bacterium. RNAcentral describes it as "bacterial SSU rRNA". It matches the Rfam family "Bacterial small subunit ribosomal RNA", at positions 60 to 859 of the family's 1533-position model. The record is from RNAcentral. Lineage: Bacteria; Pseudomonadati; Pseudomonadota.
AGUCGAGCGGUAACAGGCAUUUUGAUUCCGCUUGCUGAAUCUCGCGCUGACGAGCGGCGGACGGGUGAGUAACGCGUAGGAAUCUACCUAGUAGAAGGGGAUAGCCCGGGGAAACUCGGAUUAAUACCGUAUACGUCCUUAGGGAGAAAGAGGGCUUAGCUUUGAUGCUCUCGCUAUUAGAUGAGCCUGCGUAAGAUUAGCUCGUUGGUGAGGUAAAGGCUCACCAAGGCUACGAUCUUUAGCUGGUCUGAGAGGACGAUCAGCCACAUUGGGACUGAGACACGGCCCAGACUCCUACGGGAGGCAGCAGUGGGGAAUAUUGGACAAUGGGCGCAAGCCUGAUCCAGCCAUACCGCGUGUGUGAAGAAGGCCUUCGGGUUGUAAAGCACUUUAAGUAAGGAAGAAAAGUAUAUUGUUAAUACCAAUGUACCGUGACAUUACUUACAGAAUAAGGACCGGCUAAUUCCGUGCCAGCAGCCGCGGUAAUACGGAAGGUCCAAGCGUUAAUCGGAAUUACUGGGCGUAAAGCGCGCGUAGGUGGUUUAUUAAGUUGGGUGUGAAAGCCCCGGGCUCAACCUGGGAACUGCAUCCAAAACUGAUUCACUAGAGUACGAAAGAGGGAGGUAGAAUUCACAGUGUAGCGGUGGAAUGCGUAGAUAUUGUGAAGAAUACCAAUGGCGAAGGCAGCCUCCUGGUUCUGUACUGACACUGAGGUGCGAAAGCGUGGGUAGCGAACAGGAUUAGAUACCCUGGUAGUCCACGCCGUAAACGAUGACAACCAGCUGUUGGGAAGCAAUGCUUUUCAGUGGCGCAGCUAACGUC